GACGAACGCUGGCGGCGUGCUUAACACAUGCAAGUCGAACGCUGAAGCUCAGCUUUUGUUGGGUGGAUGAGUGGCGAACGGGUGAGUAACACGUGAGUAACCUGCCCCCUUCUUUGGGAUAACGCCCGGAAACGGGUGCUAAUACUGGAUAUUCACUGGUCUUCGCAUGGGGGUUGGUGGAAAGGGUUUUUCUGGUGGGGGAUGGGCUCGCGGCCUAUCAGCUUGUUGGUGGGGUGAUGGCCUACCAAGGCUUUGACGGGUAGCCGGCCUGAGAGGGUGACCGGUCACAUUGGGACUGAGAUACGGCCCAGACUCCUACGGAGGCAGCAGUGGGGAAUAUUGCACAAUGGGCGCAAGCCUGAUGCAGCUACGCCGCGUGAGGGAUGGAGGCCUUCGGGUUGUGAACCUCUUUCGCUCAUGGUCAAGCCGCAACAAUGGUUGUGGUGAGGGUAGUGGGUAAAGAAGCGCCGGCUAACUACGUG
RNAcentral lists this ribosomal RNA (482 nucleotides) under uncultured bacterium. RNAcentral describes it as "partial 16S ribosomal RNA". It matches the Rfam family "Bacterial small subunit ribosomal RNA", at positions 28 to 507 of the family's 1533-position model. The record is from RNAcentral.